RNAcentral lists this ribosomal RNA (675 nucleotides) under Triticum aestivum (bread wheat). Its description in RNAcentral is "partial small subunit ribosomal RNA". Lineage: Eukaryota; Viridiplantae; Streptophyta; Magnoliopsida; Poales; Poaceae. The record is from RNAcentral.
GAGUACAGGAGUAUUGUUGGUGGGCUCCAGUACUUGACGAUCACGCGACUAGACAUUUCCUAUGCUGUUAACCGAGUCUGCCAGUAUCUGCAGUCACCCCGUGACACUCAUUGGUCUGCUGUUAAGCGGAUUUUGCGCUAUAUUCGUUUCACAGUGGCUCAUGGUUUGCAUAUUCGGCCGUCUGACUCUGGUUGUCUUUCAGCAUAUUCUGAUGCAGACUGGGCUGGCAAUCCGGAUGACAGGCGAUCCACGGGGGGUUAUGUUGUCUUCUUUGGCUCUAACCUGAUUGCCUGGAGUGCUCGAAAACAGGCUACUGUCUCGCGUAGCAGUACUGAGGCUGAGUAUAAGGCUGUGGCCAAUGCCACAUCAGAGAUCAUCUGGGUACAGUCCUUGCUUCAGGAGUUAAGUAUACCCCAAUCACAGCCUCCUGUUCUUUGGUGUGAUAACAUCGGUGCUACAUACCUUUCUGCAAAUCCGGUAUUCCAUGCCCGAACGAAACACAUUGAAGUUGACUAUCACUUUGUGCGUGAACGUGCCUCUCAGAAGCAACUACAGAUCAAGUUUAUUUCUUCCAAGGAUCAACUUGCUGACAUCUUCACCAAGCCAUUGCCUUUGCCACAGUUUGAGACUUGCAGGCGCAAUCUUACCCUUCUAGAUUCAUUAGAAAGUGGCUAA